GACGAACUGUCCUAACGUUGUUCGGAAUCACUGGGCUUAAAGGGCGCGUAGGCGGUCCGCCAAGUCAGGGGUGAAAUCCUGCAGCUUAACUGUAGAAGUGCCUCUGAUACUGGCGGUCUUGAGGGAAAUAGGGGUGUGCGGAACUUCCAGUGGAGCGGUGAAAUGCGUUGAUAUUGGAAGGGACGCCGGAGGCGAAAGCGGCGCACUGGAUUUCUUCUGACGCUGAGGCGCGAAAGCUAGGGGAGCAAACGGG
Molecule: ribosomal RNA, 253 nt
Filed under: uncultured bacterium
Lineage: Bacteria
Description: partial 16S ribosomal RNA
Rfam family: Bacterial small subunit ribosomal RNA
Source: RNAcentral